CCCUUAGAUGUCCUGGGCCGCACGCGCGCUACACUGAUGCAUUCAACGAGUAAUCUUUGACCUUGGUCGACAGAUCUGGGUAAUCUUUUGAAAUUGCAUCGUGAUGGGGCUUGCGGGUUGCAAUUACCCGCACCAACGAGGAAUUCCUAGUAAACGCAAGUCAUCAACUUGCAUUGAUUACGUCCCUGCCCUUUGUACACACCGCCCGUCGCUCCUACCGAUUGAGCGGUCCGGUGAAGACUCAGGAGAUGGGCGCGUGCUUGGUUCGCCAACUGCGCUGCCUGCCAAAUUUGUCUAAACCUUAUCGCUUAGAGGAAGGAGAAGUCGUAACA
RNAcentral lists this ribosomal RNA (332 nucleotides) under uncultured eukaryote. RNAcentral's name for it is "partial 18S ribosomal RNA". It matches the Rfam family "Eukaryotic small subunit ribosomal RNA", at positions 1470 to 1796 of the family's 1831-position model. The record is from RNAcentral.